CUACUCCUACGGGAGGCAGCAGUGGGGAAUAUUGCACAAUGGGGGAAACCCUGAUGCAGCGACGCCGCGUGAGUGAAGAAGUAUUUCGGUAUGUAAAGCUCUAUCAGCAGGGAAGAAAAUGACGGUACCUGACUAAGAAGCCCCGGCUAACUACGUGCCAGCAGCCGCGGUAAUACGUAGGGGGCAAGCGUUAUCCGGAUUUACUGGGUGUAAAGGGAGCGUAGACGGCCAAGCAAGCCAGGGGUGAAAGCCCGGGGCCCAACCCCGGGACUGCCCUUGGAACUGCAUGGCUGGAGUGCGGGAGGGGCAGGCGGAAUUCCUGGUGUAGCGGUGAAAUGCGUAGAUAUCAGGAGGAACACCGGCGGCGAAGGCGGCCUGCUGGACCGCGACUGACGUUGAGGCUCGAAAGCGUGGGGAGCGAACAGGAUUAGAUACCCGGGUAC
This 443-nucleotide ribosomal RNA is filed under the name uncultured bacterium. RNAcentral's name for it is "bacterial SSU rRNA". It matches the Rfam family "Bacterial small subunit ribosomal RNA", at positions 333 to 793 of the family's 1533-position model. The record is from RNAcentral.